This 464-nucleotide ribosomal RNA is filed under the name uncultured bacterium. RNAcentral describes it as "partial 16S ribosomal RNA". It matches the Rfam family "Bacterial small subunit ribosomal RNA", at positions 339 to 795 of the family's 1533-position model. The record is from RNAcentral.
CUACGGGGUGCUGCAGUGGGGAAUAUUGGACAAUGGGGGCAACCCUGAUCCAGCCAUGCCGCGUGUGUGAAGAGGGCCUUUUGGUUGUAAAGCACUUUAAGCAGUGAAGAAGACCAUAUGGUUAAUACCCAUAUGCGAUGACAUUAGCUGCAGAAUAAGCACCGGCUAACUCUGUGCCAGCAGCCGCGGUAAUACAGAGGGUGCAAGCGUUAAUCGGAAUUACUGGGCGUAAAGCGAGCGUAGGUGGCUUGAUAAGUCAGAUGUGAAAUCCCCGGGCUUAACCUGGGAACUGCAUCUGAUACUGUUAAGCUAGAGUAGGUGAGAGGGAAGUAGAAUUCCAGGUGUAGCGGUGAAAUGCGUAGAGAUCUGGAGGAAUACCGAUGGCGAAGGCAGCUUCCUGGCAUCAUACUGACACUGAGGUUCGAAAGCGUGGGUAGCAAACAGGAUUAGAUACCCUCGUAGUC